CGGGUGAGUAAUAUAUCGGAACGUGCCCAGUAGUGGGGGAUAGCCCGGCGAAAGCCGGAUUAAUACCGCAUACGACCUACGGGUGAAAGCGGGGGAUCGCAAGACCUCGCGCUAUUGGAGCGGCCGAUAUCAGAUUAGCUAGUUGGUGGGGUAAAAGCUCACCAAGGCGACGAUCUGUAGCUGGUCUGAGAGGACGACCAGCCACACUGGGACUGAGACACGGCCCAG
Molecule: ribosomal RNA, 228 nt
Filed under: uncultured bacterium
Lineage: Bacteria
Description: partial 16S ribosomal RNA
Rfam family: Bacterial small subunit ribosomal RNA
Source: RNAcentral